CCUAGGUCGGAUUAGCUAGUUGGUGAGGUAAUGGCUCACCAAGGCGACGAUCCGUAACUGGUCUGAGAGGAUGAUCAGUCACACUGGAACUGAGACACGGUCCAGACUCCUACGGGAGGCAGCAGUGGGGAAUAUUGGACAAUGGGCGAAAGCCUGAUCCAGCCAUGCCGCGUGUGUGAAGAAGGUCUUCGGAUUGUAAAGCACUUUAAGUUGGGAGGAAGGGCAGUUACCUAAUACGUAAUUGUUUUGACGUUACCGACAGAAUAAGCACCGGCUAACUCUGUGCCAGCAGCCGCGGUAAUACAGAGGGUGCAAGCGUUAAUCGGAAUUACUGGGCGUAAAGCGCGCGUAGGUGGUUCGUUAAGUUGGAUGUGAAAUCCCCGGGCUCAACCUGGGAACUGCAUUCAAAACUGUCGAGCUAGAGUAUGGUAGAGGGUGGUGGAAUUU
Molecule: ribosomal RNA, 447 nt
Filed under: Pseudomonas frederiksbergensis
Lineage: Bacteria; Pseudomonadati; Pseudomonadota; Gammaproteobacteria; Pseudomonadales; Pseudomonadaceae
Description: bacterial SSU rRNA
Rfam family: Bacterial small subunit ribosomal RNA
Source: RNAcentral